UACGGAGGGUGCAAGCGUUAUCCGGAUUCACUGGGUUUAAAGGGUGCGUAGGUGGGCUAGUAAGUCAGUGGUGAAAUCUCCGGGCUUAACCUGGGAACUGCAUUUUAGACUGUGUGACUGGAGUACUGUAGAGGACAGUGGAAUUUCCGGUGUAGCGGUGAAAUGCGUAGAUAUGUGGAGGAAUACCGAUGGCGAAGGCAGCCCCCUGGGAUAACACUGACGCUCAUGCACGAAAGCGUGGGGAGCAAACAGG
Molecule: ribosomal RNA, 253 nt
Filed under: uncultured bacterium
Lineage: Bacteria
Description: partial 16S ribosomal RNA
Rfam family: Bacterial small subunit ribosomal RNA
Source: RNAcentral